RNAcentral lists this ribosomal RNA (695 nucleotides) under Shigella flexneri. Its description in RNAcentral is "partial 23S ribosomal RNA". It matches the Rfam family "Bacterial large subunit ribosomal RNA", at positions 1 to 729 of the family's 2925-position model. The record is from RNAcentral. Lineage: Bacteria; Pseudomonadati; Pseudomonadota; Gammaproteobacteria; Enterobacterales; Enterobacteriaceae.
GGGUUGUGAGGUUAAGCGACUAAGCGUACACGGUGGAUGCCCUGGCAGUCAGAGGCGAUGAAGGACGUGCUAAUCUGCGAUAAGCGUCGGUAAGGUGAUAUGAACCGUUAUAACCGGCGAUUUCCGAAUGGGGAAACCCAGUGUGAUUCGUCACACUAUCAUUAACUGAAUCCAUAGGUUAAUGAGGCGAACCGGGGGAACUGAAACAUCUAAGUACCCCGAGGAAAAGAAAUCAACCGAGAUUCCCCCAGUAGCGGCGAGCGAACGGGGAGCAGCCCAGAGCCUGAAUCAGUGUGUGUGUUAGUGGAAGCGUCUGGAAAGGCGCGCGAUACAGGGUGACAGCCCCGUACACAAAAAUGCACAUGCUGUGAGCUCGAUGAGUAGGGCGGGACACGUGGUAUCCUGUCUGAAUAUGGGGGGACCAUCCUCCAAGGCUAAAUACUCCUGACUGACCGAUAGUGAACCAGUACCGUGAGGGAAAGGCGAAAAGAACCCCGGCGAGGGGAGUGAAAAAGAACCUGAAACCGUGUACGUACAAGCAGUGGGAGCACGCUUAGGCGUGUGACUGCGUACCUUUUGUAUAAUGGGUCAGCGACUUAUAUUCUGUAGCAAGGUUAACCGAAUAGGGGAGCCGAAGGGAAACCGAGUCUUAACUGGGCGUUAAGUUGCAGGGUAUAGACCCGAAACCCGGUGAU